GCCCAAAACGACUCUCGGCAACGGAUAUCUCGGCUCUUGCAUCGAUGAAGAACGUAGCGAAAUGCGAUACUUGGUGUGAAUUGCAGAAUCCCGUGAACCAUCGAGUCUUUGAACGCAAGUUGCGCCCGAAGCCAUUAGGCCGAGGGCACGCCUGCCUGGGUGUCACUAA
RNAcentral lists this ribosomal RNA (169 nucleotides) under Amicia glandulosa. Its description in RNAcentral is "5.8S ribosomal RNA". It matches the Rfam family "5.8S ribosomal RNA". From Rfam's summary of the family: 5.8S ribosomal RNA (5.8S rRNA) is a component of the large subunit of the eukaryotic ribosome. The record is from RNAcentral. Lineage: Eukaryota; Viridiplantae; Streptophyta; Magnoliopsida; Fabales; Fabaceae.